Molecule: unclassified non-coding RNA, 156 nt
Filed under: uncultured fungus
Lineage: Eukaryota; Fungi
Description: sequence contains ITS1, 5.8S rRNA gene
Source: RNAcentral
CCGAGAGAGGGCCGUCAAAACGCCCGACCUCCCAACCCUUUGUCGAACCAAACCACGUUGCCUCGGGGGGCGUCUCGUCGUCUUUCGCGGCGAGCACCCCCAGAGGACCAACCAACUCUGCGUCUUUGCGUCGGAGUAUUGAAAACAAAUCAAUCA